AGGAUGAACGCUAGCCACAGGCUUAACACAUGCAAGUCGAGGGGCAUCAGGAAGAAAGCUUGCUUUCUUUGCUGGCGACCGGCGCACGGGUGAGUAACACGUAUCCAACCUGCCCUUUACUCGGGGAUAGCCUUUCGAAAGAAAGAUUAAUACCCGAUAGCAUAAUGAUUCCGCAUGGUUUCAUUAUUAAAGGAUUCCGGUAAAGGAUGGGGAUGCGUUCCAUUAGGUUGUUGGUGAGGUAACGGCCCACCAAGCCUUCGAUGGAUAGGGGUUCUGAGAGGAAGGUCCCCCACAUUGGAACUGAGACACGGUCCAAACUCCUACGGGAGGCAGCAGUGAGGAAUAUUGGUCAAUGGGCGCUAGCCUGAACCAGCCAAGUAGCGUGAAGGAUGAAGGCUCUAUGGGUCGUAAACUUCUUUUAUAUAAGAAUAAAGUGCAGUAUGUAUACUGUUUUGUAUGUAUUAUAUGAAUAAGGAUCGGCUAACUCCGUGCCAGCAGCCGCGGUAAUACGGAGGAUCCGAGCGUUAUCCGGAUUUAUUGGGUUUAAAGGGAGCGUAGGUGGACUGGUAAGUCAGUUGUGAAAGUUUGCGGCUCAACCGUAAAAUUGCAGUUGAUACUGUCAGUCUUGAGUACAGUAGAGGUGGGCGGAAUUCGUGGUGUAGCGGUGAAAUGCUUAGAUAUCACGAAGAACUCCGAUUGCGAAGGCAGCUCACUGGACUGCAACUGACACUGAUGCUCGAAAGUGUGGGUAUCAAACAGGAUUAGAUACCCUGGUAGUCCACACAGUAAACGAUGAAUACUCGCUGUUUGCGAUAUACAGUAAGCGGCCAAGCGAAAGCAUUAAGUAUUCCACCUGGGGAGUACGCCGGCAACGGUGAAACUCAAAGGAAUUGACGGGGGCCCGCACAAGCGGAGGAACAUGUGGUUUAAUUCGAUGAUACGCGAGGAACCUUACCCGGGCUUAAAUUGCAGUGGAAUGAUGUGGAAACAUGUCAGUGAGCAAUCACCGCUGUGAAGGUGCUGCAUGGUUGUCGUCAGCUCGUGCCGUGAGGUGUCGGCUUAAGUGCCAUAACGAGCGCAACCCUUAUCUUUAGUUACUAACAGGUUAUGCUGAGGACUCUAGAGAGACUGCCGUCGUAAGAUGUGAGGAAGGUGGGGAUGACGUCAAAUCAGCACGGCCCUUACGUCCGGGGCUACACACGUGUUACAAUGGGGGGUACAGAAGGCAGCUAGCGGGUGACCGUAUGCUAAUCCCAAAAUCCUCUCUCAGUUCGGAUCGAAGUCUGCAACCCGACUUCGUGAAGCUGGAUUCGCUAGUAAUCGCGCAUCAGCCACGGCGCGGUGAAUACGUUCCCGGGCCUUGUACACACCGCCCGUCAAGCCAUGGGAGCCGGGGGUACCUGAAGUACGUAACCGCAAGGAUCGUCCUAGGGUAAAACUGGUGACUGGGGCU
This 1453-nucleotide ribosomal RNA is filed under the name uncultured organism. RNAcentral describes it as "SSU rRNA". It matches the Rfam family "Bacterial small subunit ribosomal RNA". The record is from RNAcentral.